CCUGGGGGACACCUGGGUGACACCUGUGUCACCUGUGUGUCACCUGUGUGCCCCCAAACCCCACCCCAAACCCGCCCGCGCCACCACGGUGAGUGGCACACCUGGGGGACACCUGGGUGACGUCACCUGUGUGACACCUGGGUGUCCCCAAACCCCACCCCAGACCCGCCCGCGCCACCACGGUGCGCCUCAGGUGUGGCCGGGACACGGCGCUGACGGCGGCCACGGAGCCGAGCCGCUGCGAGUACCUGCUGGAGCUGCAGACACCGGCGGCCUGCCGGGAGCCGCCGGCGGGGCACGAGGAGCACGACGAGCUCUGAGCCCCAAAAUUAUCCAAAAUCAUCCCAAAAUAUCCUGAAAUUAUCCCAAAAUAUCCCAAAAUAUCCCGAAAUUAUCCCAAAAUAUCCCGAAAUUAUCCCAAAAUUAUCCCAAAACCCUGCCGGGAGCCGCCGGCGGGGCACGAGGAGCACGACGAGCUCUGAGCCCCAAAAUUAUCCCAAAAAUAUCCCAAAAUGUCCUGAAAUUAUCCCAAAAUAUCCCAAAAUUAUCCCAAAAUUAUCCCAAAACCCUGCCGGGAGCCACCGGCGGGGCACGAGGAGCACGACGAGCUCUGAGCCCCAAAAUUAUCCAAAAUCACCCCAAAAAUAUCCCAAAAUAUCCCGAAAUUAUCCCAAAAUAUCCCGAAAUUAUCCCGAAAUAUCCCGAAAUUAUCCCAAAGUUAUCCCCAAAACCCUGCCGGGAGCCGCCGGCGGGGCACGAGGAGCACGACGAGCUCUGAGCCCCAAAUAUCCCGAAAUUAUCCCAAAAUAUCCCGAAAUUAUCCCAAAAUAUCCCGAAAUUAUCCCAAAAUAUCCCAAAAUAUCCCGAAAUUAUCCCAAAAUAUCCCGAAAUUAUCCCAAAAUAUCCCGAAAUUAUCCCAAAGUUAUCCCAAAGUUAUCCCCAAAACCCUGCCGGGAGCCGCCGGCGGGGCACGAGGAGCACGACGAGCUCUGAGCCCCAAAAUUAUCCCAAAACUGCCCCAAAAUCACCCCAAAAAUAGCCCCCAAAGAGCCAAAAAUUAUCCCAAAAAUAGCCCCGAAAUAUCCUGAAAUGAUCCCAAAACCAGCCCUGAAAUAGCUGUGAAAACAGCCCAAAAAUAUCCCAAAACCAUCCCAAAAAUCACCCCAAAAAUAGCCCAGAAAUAAUCACUAAACAUCCCAAAAAUAUCCCAGAAUUAUCCCCAAAAUAGCCCUGAAAAUUGCCCAAAAUUAUCCCAAAAUAUCCUCAAAAUAUCACAAAACUGUGCCCAAAAUAGACCAAAAAUAGCCCAAAACUGUCCUGAAAUUAUCCCCAAAAUACCCCCAAAAUAUCCCCAAAUUAUGCCCAAAAUAUUCCCAAAAGAGCCCUAAAAAUAACCCAAAAAUAUCCCUGAAAAUCCCCAAAAUAUCCCAAAAUUCCCCCCCCAAAAAUCCCCGAAAAUCCCCCAAAACCACCCCAAAAACUGCCCCAGAGGAACAUUCCAACCCCCCAAAAUCCCCCCAAAAACCCCAAAUCCCUCCUGAAAAAAAAAUCCCAAAUCCCCCUCGUGCCUCAGUUUCCCCGGGGGGAGGGGCUUCCCUGCCUCAGUUUCCCUUUUCCUGGGAUCCCAAAUUUGGGGAUUUUUUUGGGGGCGUUUUUCCAACAUUCCGAGGGCUCCCUGCCUCAGUUUCCCUUCUCUGUUGGAGCCUGACUUUGGGAAUUUUGAGGGAGGGGAGGGGGGUGUUCCCUGCCUCAGUUUCCCUCUCAUCCCCAACUCCCAGAUCCUGGAAUUUCGAGAUGGGGAGCGGCCCAAAAUCCCAAAAAAAAAAAAAAAAAAAAGGGGGGGGGGAAGGGGAAAAA
Vidua chalybeata is the source of this 1857-nucleotide long non-coding RNA. RefSeq lists it as uncharacterized. The transcript is spliced from 2 exons. NCBI's taxonomy places the organism in Eukaryota, Metazoa, Chordata, Aves, Passeriformes, Viduidae. The record is from RefSeq and is a predicted model, not a curated record.